Molecule: microRNA, 22 nt
Filed under: Schistosoma mansoni
Lineage: Eukaryota; Metazoa; Platyhelminthes; Trematoda; Strigeidida; Schistosomatidae
Description: sma-miR-8458-5p
Source: miRBase by way of RNAcentral
GUGAUAGCCACUAUCCAUCUCC